CCCACGUGUUCAAGAUGUUUGUGGUGCUUUUUCUCUUUCUCAUAAUCUUCACCAGUUUUGCCUUCAUCAGUAGUCUCUUCAAAAUUAGUGGUCUCAGAUGAGUAGGCAGCUCCUUUUCCAUAGGUAUCUCCUUCACCAUAAUUAGUUUUCUCUCCAUAGGUAGUUUCAGAUGGAACAUCUCCAUAGCCACUCUUGUUUUCAUAGCCACUCUCUCCAUAACUAGUCUUAUUUUCAUAGCCACUAUCUCCAUAGCCACUCUUGUUUUCAUAGCCACUAUCUCCAUAGCCACUCUUGUUUUCAUAGCCACUAUCUCCAUAACCAGUCUUAUUUUCAUAGCCACUAUCUCCAUCGCUAGUCUUAUUUUCAUAGCCACUAUCUCCAUAGUUACCUCCCUCACCAUAACUAGUUUUCUCUACAUAUCCACUUUCUCCAUAGUCAGUUUUCUCACCAUAUUUGUUAUCCCCAUAGUUAUCUCCCCCACCAUAACUAGUUUUCUCACCAUAUGUAUUCUCUCCGUAGGUAGUUUUUUCAGUAUCACCACCAUAUGGAGUUUCUCCAUAGGUAGUUUUGUCUUCCUCCUUGUCCUUGUGGUGGAAGAGACCGAAGUGGUGCUUCUUCUCUUCAGCCAUUUUGGUGAUAAAUGUGAUGGUUGACGAGUUUUGAAAAAAGUAGUAGUACGUACAAUAUACUUGGGUGCUGUUGGGAUGUUUUCUCUUGUUAAUAUUGAGUGGUAUUUAUAACUACUGUUGGUUAUAACUAGCUAGCCUAUGAGUUUGGAACUUGAGUUAGUUGAUGUGAGGACGACUAAUUUGUUUGUCCAGUGACCGUGUGUACGAGUUUUAUCCAAUGUUCGCACCUCUUUAAUUUGCAUGAAGGAAGUUUGUUACGUAGAUUUUUCAAUCCAUGUGGCGAAAAUCGACGAAUGCUUAAUUGUUAUGCCGACAUGAUACAUGACUCGCAUGCAUAUUCAUUUAUUGAGUUUUAGUGAGACAAACUUUAUUUCCGUCAUUAACUGCUUUAACUACGUAUGAUAUAUACGAUACGAAUAAUUAUAAACCUCUUUGCUGCGCAUUUUUUCUAGCUAACAUUAAGAAUUAGAUCAGACACUAUCAUGCAACAAAGAAAAGGAAGUGGCGAUAGAAACAACAAAAAAAGAUAAUGACAAUUGAGGAAUGGGUAACGAGUUUAUGUAUACCACCCACGUAACCUUCAAAACUCAAAUAUCGUGGGAGGAUUUAUGUUUAGUCUUUAGAAUACAAUUAAACUUCUAAAAUCGUCCAAAAAGGGAAAAGAAGGGGAAAAAGACUAAACAAAUUACCAUUUUCCUAUGUUUUGAAUUAAGUAUCAUAUGUAUAUAAGUUUUUUUCGGAAAUAUAGGGUUUAGUCCUAAUCCUAUAUGUCUGUGCCUUUGGCCUCAAAAUACUCUAGUCAGCCUCAACUUUUGUGUGUGUCGAUUGUCAAAACUAUACCUAUCUCAAUUCUUAGUUUACCCAAUGAACUGAGGCCCCAUGUCAUAUUGUUCAUUCUCCAAAUAUCUGGUUUUAAACGUGACGUGCGAGAGAAUGUGUGUCGAUUAAUUAGAACGUUCCACAUUAGUAAUCGAAUAUUGUCUUGAGUAAUCCUUACAACAUGAUCGUCAAGUUUUUUAGAUGAAUUUAUUAGUCCCAAUAUCCAUCUUCUUAACAAUGUCCUACAUAGUUAGGCUGAAAAUUAACUCAAUGUAGGCUUAAUUAUAAGUAGGCAAGUAGUCCAUAUUCAAAUGGAUGUCACCUUCACGGCUUCUCCAUUGAAGACCGGAAGGUUGAGGAGCUAUCUACAUAUAUACACACUGUCAGGAUUGCAUGCAACCCUAUAUACUUAAUUAUGUGAAAAUCUAAAUAUGCUUAAUUAUGUGAAAAUGUACAUAUUUUAAUUUCCCAACCUUCUUCUUUAAGAUAUAUAAAUUCAUACGGUGAUUAAAAGAUAUUUGAAACAUCGUAUAUUAGCUUUCAGAAAUAUGGAGUCUUUGGUUCAAAAAUACACGUGUGUUCCGAGCAUUUGCUAUACACUUGACCAAUAGCGAGGUUACUACUCACUCCGUUAUGUAAUCUAUUUCCUUUUUGGUCCGUUAAAAAAAAAAAGACCUUUUUCUAAAUUUGGAAACAAUUUUGGUAAACUUAAAAUUCUACCCUUAAUGAGAAGCUUUUAUAACCACACAAAUACUCUGGACCCUUUUUUUGACUUGUUUAGGACCACAAUUUGCAAAAGUCUUCAUUUUUUCUUAAACUCCGUGCUCAGUCAAACAGAUUUACAUAAAUUGGAACGGAGGGAGUACAAUUUUUUUGAAUUCAGAUAAUCUUUAUCAAUUGUCAUAUUAACAUGUGACUAUUUUGGUAAAUUUUGCUGAAUUAAUGUUAAUGCAUGACUAAGUUGAAAUUAAAUACAACCAUUAAUUAAACUGGUCUAUGCUUACAAGUUUGAACAACAUGACCCUUAACCUAAGCUUUAAUGGGUAUAAUUAUUAAUGAUUGAUACUUUUAUUAGUGGAAGAAUGCGAGUGCAAUAGUUAAGAUGCACAGCACUGUAUGUUAUCAAGAAAGAAAAUUGAGCAACAUAACUUUUUCCUUUCUAAAAAUUUGUAAACUUCCACGAGUGCCACGUUAUAUGUAGAUUUAUGACCCCAUUAGAAGCACAAAAUAAAAAUAUAUAUACUAUCUCAUUAAAAGCAGAAAAUAAAAGGAACAAAAAAAUCAAAAUCAUCAAUAGCAAUUUAUUUCAUUAUCCAUUCUAAUGGAAUUAAAAACAUCGCUAGCUAAUUAACUUUAUUGGCUUCGAUACAAUACACUGAAAACUAUUACGAUCUCCAAAAUAAAAAAAAGAAGUAAAAGUUGGAAAUCACAAAUGGAGAUCUUGAGUAUCUUUGAACCGAAAUCCCAACUCAUCUUCCACAUGAAUUGCUUGAUAGUAAUCUUUUUCAUAACUAUACGAUAUUAAAGUAUGGAUAGCAAUAAAAAGGGUCGGCAUUGCCAUUAUGAUUAGGACCCAUAUUUUGGCAUCUGUUGAAUUUUGAGGAGUGUCGGCAAACUUUUUAGGUAUAUUCAGUCGAACAGUUUCUUUGCUUGCCUUUUAUUUGUUGGUUUAUUGUCUUUGUCCUUCCAACUGCCAUUCUAAUAUCUGAAAACGGAAAAGAGAGGAAAUGGUAUUCUUUUUUUUAUCCCAUCAAAAUGAUCAUUAGUGUUUGCACUUAUUUUUUCACUUACUCGAACCUUUAACCUAUUGGUCAAUGAUGGAGGUGCUCAAAUAUUAAAGCAACUCUCACUUGUCUAAAUUAUUUAUCAUUUUUUUAAUACUUUUUCUAAGGAUCUUAUAUUCGGACUACUAAUUCGAUUAAUUUAAAUUUAUAUUAGUUGAUCCACGAAAGAAGUGAAGCGUUUCUUAAUAAGAGCAUCUAUAUUCUUAAGGUUUGAUUAAAAUUAAUAUGACUGGCUGAUUUGAGAACCUACUAAGUUAGAGUAACAACAAAAGAAUUUAUAGUGGAAAAAGAAGAUUUUCAUGAUGGAAAAAAAGAAGAAUAUUUUCAUGACCUUAUAGGAAACAUGUUCUAUUUUUAACUGUUAAGAUAAAGUUAUACUGAAACAAGAUUGUUUUUUUAUAAAUCGAUUUUCCAAAUUAAGAGACAAGCAUCGAACUAUCGAAGUAAUAUUUGAUCAAGAAAAUGUUUGCUAAAAGUAUGUUUCACAUCUCACCAAAUUGACCCUUCUGUAUCUCACUCUCUUCCUCGACUCUUGUUAUUUAGUGAUUUUUUUAAUACUUGCAUUUUCCAAAUUAGACAUUUUAAAAAAAAAUCUUCUUUACAUCAGUGGUUUAUAACGAGCCGACCAAAAUAGCUGGAGGGACAAAAGAGGAAGCCACCUCAUUUCUGUGGGAUUUAAGUUAUAUAUAUACUUAGUAUAAUUUAACGUACUACCUUAUUACUGCAAUUUAUAUUAGGUGACUAAUAAAUACUAUUAUUAAAUAAAAUUGCAUGCAAUUACUGACCUGAUUUUUAAGUAAUUUUUACACAAUUAGUGUAUACAGUAAUUGAACUUAAACUCAUUUAUGUUUACUAGAGUUGGUUCUUGUUUAAUUUGGAGCCACUUUUAGGAGCUUAAAGGAAACAAAAACAAGGAUUUAAAUAUAUAGCGUGUACAAAAUAAUGUCAAGAAUAAAAUACAUAUACUAAGACUGGUGAUUUUCAUCGUUCAUGCAUAAAAGUUGUUGUUUAAUGCAGGGUCCGAGUUAGAAGUCUGGCUACAUUUGGCAAAACUCCGUAUCUUUUGCUCAAGCAGUGUAUUUGAGUUAAAAUUUUCGCUAAGUAUAUAUAAAUAUUAAAUUUAGAACCCAAUUAUUAAUAUUUAAAAUCGUCGUUUUAAAAUCCAGAACCUAUAAAAUUGAAAUUUUGACUCCGCCUCUGAUUUAACGUUGGAAACUAUUUUCUUGUGUCCUUUUUUUAUUCUUCCAUUCAUUGUUUAUCUUCUUCUUAGUAGGUUUGUAUAAAUUAGCAUUAUAAUUAGGGACGGAUAACUGAACCCUCAGAUCGAGGGAUGAAAAUUUCUGCCCUCUUAGUUAUCCUAAAUCCUAAUUAGCACUACUACUAUUUCCACCAACCCUCUGGACUUCCACUCUUUCUUACAAUUUAUUAAAAUUAUAGGACUACAGUAUGCGUAUGUGUAAAUAGUUACGGUAAAGAUAUUUUAAAAUAUAUAGAGUAAUACAUUCACAGCUCUAAAAUUUUGGAUUAUUAUAUAUGUAUUUAAGGUAAAAAUUUAGGUCGAUUUUCAAAUUUAGGUGAAGUUCAAUGAAAAUUUUAAGAAGAUAAACCUCUUUGAUCAAGUCGCAAAGUCCACAUGCAUAUGUGAUGUUCGGAGAAAGUGAUAGAUACCUGAUAUUUACAGUUUUUAUUUUCUUUUUCUUUUUGUGAGGGUGUAACUUAGGUAUUAAAAACCAAAAAUGUUGGUAUAACAUUAAUUUUCUUUCUCUUCGUUUACGAAAUUAUAUAACUAUUUUUCUUACGAGUUAUGCUUUAGUUUGAAUUUUAUCAUCACCUUCAUCCUAUUAAAAAAAUAAUUAUAAAUCAAAUAGCAUAAUUAAGGGCACAAGUCCUAACAAUCUGAAAUAAAUGUAUCAUCAUCUUGAUGGGAUAAGCUCGUUAGAUGUGCUCAUAUCCCGUUCUAAGUCGUUGACAAACUAAAUUGAUAUAUUGAAAUCUUGUUAAUUAAAUGCUUUUCCAUAUAUNNNNNNNNNNNNNNNNNNNNNNNNNNNNNNNNNNNNNNNNNNNNNNNNNNNNNNNNNNNNNNNNNNNNNNNNNNNNNNNNNNNNNNNNNNNNNNNNNNNNNNNNNNNNNNNNNNNNNNNNNNAAUUGAUGAAAUGGCCCGACAUUGAACAAGAUCGACAAAGUAAGACUAGAUACCAAAAAACAAACCAAAUAGUAAUUAGUAGGUAAAAGAUAAGUUACCACGACGAAUGGAAUGUUACGUGUAGUAUUUUAGUAUGUAAUACGGAAGAUAUAGUGGCCAAAAACUGCAUCUUAUUAUCCCAAAAGAAAAGGAGAAAGUAUAUUUAUUGUGAAUAUUAUUAUCAUUAUGAUUCAAUUAACCACAAUAUUUAUGAUAAAGAAGUGGAAGAAUAUCCAUUGUGAUAUCCGCACCAACACAAGUUAGUUGAUAUAUACAUAUGGAGCGUUGAGUGUCGACAAUUAGUGGGGGUGGGCUUCUGAUGUGAAAUGUGAAUCACAAGAAUCCCUCAUAUAAUUCACUUCUUUAUUAUCUUUAGAGAGAAAUUAAAGCAGCUGAGUCAAAUGGUCCUUUGAAUUAUUACUUGAUUGGACCUUUCGUCAUCAUUGGGUCCAUUUAAUUGAACGUGUCGGCAAGUCUUGAUUCUAGUCGUUCGAUUCAAUCCCAAACCAUAUCCUUUUUCUUUUCAAAUAUGCUAGUAUUACAUUGAGUGAUCUCAAAAAAAAAAAAAAUAAAAAAAAAAAAAUUUACACUAACGAAUAUUAGAUUUGUCUUUUAUGAAUACACACAACACUAAUCAGUGAGAAAAUGGAGAUGCUUGACAAAUUAAAAUGAGGAUGAAGGAGAUCUAAUCAACUUGAAAUUAGUUCAAAAAAUUUCACUCUGAUUUACUUGCAAAGGAGGAAUUUAAAAGAAGUGUUAUACUAAAUUACUACUCUCUCCGUCCCAAUUUAUAUGGCGAUAUUUGACUCGGCACAAAAUUUAACAAGAAAAAAAAAAGAUAACUUGUGGUCUAAAAUAAGUUAGAGAUAUUUGUGUGCCUAUAAAGUAUCUAAAGAUAAAAUAGAAAAUUUAAUGUUGAAUUAUUUUUAAAAUAAAGAAGUAUUACAUUAUUUUUGCAAAAGACAAAAAAAAAAAUGCUAUUGUUUACCUAGCUUAUCCUCUCAUGUCUAUUUUGCUAUCUUACUAGCUAGCGGAUAUGUGGUGGUGGUGGUGGUGGUGGGGUUGGGGGGUGGGGGUUACGACCCACCAACUGACAUUUUCUUCUACUAACUCUUGUAAUAUUGUGGUUCAACUUGGCAGUUUAAACGCUCUACGUAGCACAUAUAUGCAUGCACUGAUACUAAUUCAGUUUAAUACUAAUAUUGUAUAUCGUCUCUCUACAAAAUAGCAAAAACUUACCUUGACCUAAAAAAAUAUCGUCUCUCUAAAAAAUAACAAAAGCUUACCUUUACCUCAAUAUAGCAUCAGAUUAGUGUGUCAUACUCCCGUUCAUUUUGCUUAGUACCUUACAUGAGCCAAAACCUGAUCAUCAUGUAGACCUCGUUUGUUUUCACUUACUUAACGUCUGGAUCUGAAUCCUUUAGGCACGUCAAUUCUAGAGUUUGUGUUUGUUCUAUAUAUUUGUAAAUGAUUUUUCGUUACUAUGUGCUGGAAAUUAAACAAGAUUAACUAGUAUUCUAACAUCGUCUAGGAUUUGGUAUUUACUAGUUUAUUUAAUUUAUGUCUAAUUAGGAUUCACAACCAAAAUCACGUAGGAAUAUAUUUUUCUAGAUUCUAGUCAAAUUUGGAUUGUAGUAUUAUAAAUGUGGAUGCUACAACAUAUUUUCUAUUGUAGAGAGGUAACUACAAUUAGUGGCGAAACUAGAAAUUUUUCCAAGGGUAUUCAAAUUUGAAAGAAGUGAAAAAAGAUUCCCUACAAAAGGGUGUUCAAUAUGUGUUAUAUACCUCUCAAACGUAAUAUUUUACCUUAUACACAGUGCAAUUUUUUGACGAAGGAUGGUCAAGUGACCACCAUUGUGAAUAUGUGGCUUCGCCACUGACUACGAUGUAAAGAGAUUCAAGAGUUUAUGUCACGCCCCGAACCUGGGCCUGGACGUAACACGACACCCGGUGCCUGACUACAUGUGGCCGAGCGAACCAACUGGCUGGCUGAAUCAACAUGUGAUAUCAUAACAUACUGAAUGCGGAAGAUAAACUAACACAUGAUGAUAUAAUGAAAGUCUGAAUUAUGUAGCCAAAAUUACUUAACAUGAAAAGCCUACGACUCUGUCUAACUAUUACUCUAGUCUAUGAAGUCUCUAAUGAAGUACUGAAAACAUCGACUGUCUGAAAAUACUGAAGAUUGUAAGGUAAUGAUAAUGCCCUGAAAGAACUGGGGAUCACCAAUUUGAAUUACACUGGUAUGUAAAGAAACUAAAAGAAAGAACUGUAAAUGCUGAAACUGAAACUGAGCCGAUAAUUGAGAACUGAUAACUGA
RNAcentral lists this long non-coding RNA (7731 nucleotides) under Nicotiana tabacum (common tobacco). Its description in RNAcentral is "long non-coding RNA (NTAB_LNC002021)". Lineage: Eukaryota; Viridiplantae; Streptophyta; Magnoliopsida; Solanales; Solanaceae. The record is from RNAcentral.